Poecilia latipinna (sailfin molly) is the source of this 2586-nucleotide long non-coding RNA. RefSeq lists it as uncharacterized. Lineage: Eukaryota; Metazoa; Chordata; Actinopteri; Cyprinodontiformes; Poeciliidae. The transcript is spliced from 7 exons. The record is from RefSeq and is a predicted model, not a curated record.
GGCAGUGUUGUGUGAAGGAAGUAGGCCCGCCAUAAGAAGGGAACCUUCUUGUCAACGGUGUUGCGGCUGCGUCAAACCAGAAUGUUCUGCUUCUCGUCUCUUCUCUUCCACGGUUUAUGCAGACCGGAGACUGUGAACAUGUGGGGUUUGGCCUCAUAAAUGUCAACGUUUGUGCACGUGAAUGGGUACGCUCAGAAGUAAUUGGUUUGGUCUGCAGAAUCACCGGCGGAACAGCAGAGGACAGGAGAAGAGGGUGAGAGAGGAGGAAGAGAGCCGGCGCUUUGCUUCAGCUCAUUAACCAACGCCUGUUAGCUUGGAAAUAAAUUGGGUUUGGAUGUAAUCAGGUCUGGGCGUGAAUAGUAAAAUUCAUCUCAUCUUUGUCUGAUACUUUUUGAAACCCGACACGUCAGCUGACGAGGACAGCAGAGCAAAGAGUCGUCGUCAGUGCUAGCACAAAAUCCAACGAUUUCUGCCAGAAGCAUGACUAGCUGUCACUUCAAUUCUCGAGCCCGCUGUGCUACAAGGUUGCCCCAUACAGAUCGCUCAUGUUUGAUAAAAGCAGCAAAAUGUUUCCUCAUCAGAGGAAACAUAUUACCCGUUAUGCAUCAAACAAAGAGCGACGGCUGCGUUCCAGGCUCAGUUGAUCUUGAACUGGCCGCCUCUCUCGUCUUUCUGUGUCACCUCUCCUGAGUGACGUGCAGCCUGACUGGACAUGGCACCGUCGUCUGACUGGAACCAAAUGAGCCGCUGAUUUAUCCUCGUUUCUGAAUGAACGGGCGCAUUUCGGCGGCAUCUCCUGCAUUCCUGGACGCAUUUCUUUUUCUGUCAGAGUGCCCUGGCACUUCUUUUCCCGCUUUGGCUGAGCAAAUUUUCAACACUUCUUAAGGUAAUUUAAAUCCUUUUGCGUGGAAAAAUGUGUCUGUGCCAGAUGUGAAGUCAACAAUCCUCUUGGCACCUGUGUGACGGCAGUUUAAUUGAAAUGUCAGCUGAUACACUCCGAAUCCACAGAUUUUAAAUUUUUUUUUUCUUCUUGUCCCCAACGUCCUCAUCUUGUCUCUGCUCUUCUCUGCUCCCGCCGCGCUGCCCUGAGUUACAACUUCAUCUUUCCUGCGUAGCCGAGGACGGGAGGUGAAGCAAUGCAUCAGCUGCCCUCUCCUCGCUUCCCACCCUGCGUUCUCAGCUGACCUGAGAUGGCCUCCUCUCUACCCCCCCCAAAAAAAGAGAAGAACUCUUCUGCUUCCUGUGCCCACGGGGGUUGAAGACAGUCACCCAAGAUUCCGCAUGACUGCAAGUAUAAAUCUGACGGAAGUAAUUACCCAUCAUCCUCCAGGGGCCCGGAGCGCGCUUCCCGCCUCCUCUUCAACUUCGACGUAGUUCAACCUUUUUCCACUCAGAUGGGAGGAGAGUUGUGGUGCGUGAGGGGGCAAAGUCGUACUUGGAGUUAAUUGCCUCGGGCAGUUUGGUAACGGGGGGGAUGAAGAGGUCUAGAAUUUCCUGGUAGAUGGCUGCAUCCUUGCCUUGCCGUUGCCUUCCUAUGUAUUUCCGCUAACCUUGCUUUACAGCUCAGUCUGUGCUUUCUUCCAUUCACUUGGAUUUUUCCAGUAGAAUUUCAACUUGGUCAAUCAGAAGAACUUGUGAACGACCACAUUGGUUUUCUGCACUACUUUAGAAUUGUAGUCUGCCAAAGACGUUCAAUCCAUGUUGGUGCACGCUUCCAAAUUCUUGGAUUAACAUUAACAGCAAUUUCUGGUAAGCUGCUCUAAAUCAAAUAAUGAGCAGCAAUUUUGGUAAGACUUGAAGCUACCACUGCAUUAUAGUUCUAUACAAAGAGCUCAAUCUUGCUAUUCCAGUUUUUGCAGCAUUUAAUAAUGCUCAUCAUGCAAUAGUCAAAGACAAAUAGGACUUUUAACAGUCCUGAGAUUUUAAACCUCUGCUACAAUUUUUAGCUGCUGAACAGGCACCCAUAGCUUUCUAACAAUGUUGCUUUUUGAUCGUCGGCUUCUCCAUUUCUGUGACUGGGACAGAGCUGGAUUCCUGCUCCAACCCAGCAAAGUUGAUUGGCGAUCGAUCACUCAUGAUGUGAGAUUCUCCCACUUUAAACAGGAGAGGGGUGAAAAUGCAUUAUGAUUUAACAUCAACAUUACAAACAUCACCUAAUCACCUAAUCAAUCAAAAAGCUCAGUUUUUUGUAAUUUAUUUUUAUUUUUUUGCAAUUUCCCCUUAUUGAAUCAAUUUGUUGUGUGUCAAGAAUGAAAAAGGAUACAGUGAGUUCUGAAGUCGAUGCCGUAACGAAAAAGAUUGUUUUUGUCAACUGAAUAUAACAUUGGUUUAUUAGCUUAUCUUCAGAUUGAUAUCUAUUACAACACAAAUGUACAUCUUAUAAAGGGCGGGGAGAUCAAUGUCCAACAUUGCUGUCAAAUUAAUCUAAAGCCAAACUACUGAUUACUGUUUAUUACUUGGUAAAAAAAAAAAAGUGAGCAUGAGAGAAGUUAAGCUAAUUUAGUCUGAUUAUGACACAACUGAGUUCAGUACAAUGUAAAGCACAGUAUAACUUGGCAUGAAAAUCAAUUAAACAUUUGUUUCCCA